GAUGAACGCUAGCGGCAGGCCUAAUACAUGCAAGCCCAGGGCUGUUUGGUGUAGCAAUACCUCAAACCACUGGCGGCCGGGUGCGUAACGCGUAUGCAACCUACCCUAUACAGGAGUAUAGCCCUCGGAAACGAGGAUUACUACUCCCUAAGAUUGCUUAGAGCCAUCUUUAUGCAAUUAAAGCCGCAAUUCGGUAUAGGAUGGGCGUGCGUCCGAUUCGCUAUUUGGUGAGGUAACGGCUCACCAAGGCGAUGAUCGUUAGUGGUUCUGAGAGGAAGAUCCCCCAGAAGGGAGCUGAGACACGGGCUCGAAGCCGACGGGGGGGAGGAGUAAGGAAUAUUAGACAAGGGGGGAAAGCCUGAUCCAGCCAUGCGGGGUGCAGGAAGAAGGGGAUAGGGGUUGUAAACUGUUUUGGAGAGAGAGAAAUAAGAGCGAUGCGGCGCGCGAUGAUAGUACUUAACGAAUAAGCAUCGGCUAACUUCGUG
RNAcentral lists this ribosomal RNA (485 nucleotides) under uncultured bacterium. RNAcentral describes it as "partial 16S ribosomal RNA". It matches the Rfam family "Bacterial small subunit ribosomal RNA", at positions 28 to 507 of the family's 1533-position model. The record is from RNAcentral.